UACGAAGGGGGCUAGCGUUGCUCGGAAUUACUGGGCGUAAAGGGCGCGUAGGCGGCACUGUUAGUCAGGCGUGAAAGUCCUGGGCUCAACCUGGGAACUGCGCUUGAUACGGCAGAGCUAGAGGAUGGAAGAGGGUCGCGGAAUUCCCAGUGUAGAGGUGAAAUUCGUAGAUAUUGGGAAGAACACCGGUGGCGAAGGCGGCGCUCUGGACCGAGACUGACGCUGAGGCGCGAAAGCGUGGGGAGCAAACAGG
Molecule: ribosomal RNA, 253 nt
Filed under: uncultured bacterium
Lineage: Bacteria
Description: partial 16S ribosomal RNA
Rfam family: Bacterial small subunit ribosomal RNA
Source: RNAcentral